RNAcentral lists this long non-coding RNA (1020 nucleotides) under Homo sapiens (human). RNAcentral describes it as "PCBP1 antisense RNA 1". The record is from RNAcentral. Lineage: Eukaryota; Metazoa; Chordata; Mammalia; Primates; Hominidae.
GUGGUUAGCAUUCGUCGCCAACGAGAAAUUGGGGUCGGCCCGAAAGCUCUAGAAUGCACCCCUCUUCCUCCCCGGGGCCUUCCACCUCCGCGAGUUUUAUGACUUAAAAAAGCCCACAGGCUGGUCUGAAGGUCGGAGGCCUAAUUUUAACGCGUUUUCCUCCCUUUAAUUUGAAACGGGAACGCGAAUGACUGUAAAAUAGGAAGACAAACAUAAAGAUGAAGUGCUUAAUUCAAGGUCACACAAUGUCGGGGAUGGACCUCCAGAUUUCCUUACUGACCUGCAUUAUCUUGUGGAUACCUGAGUGAAUUCCACACCACCCAUUUUAUAGAUGAAACCACUGAGACAUGGAGCAAUUGACUGAGUAGUCACUGCCCCACCCCUGCCUGGAGCCUCACACAUGACUCGCCUCCUCUCAGUGACCACAGGUUGGUUGAGGGGUUUAACAAGGCUAAGAAGUACUUAUCCUGUAUUACAUGAAGGAAAUGAAAUAAAAAGACUGCAGCCCCACUCCCAGCUACUCAGUGAGGUGGUAGCUAGAGACGGAGUCUUGCUAUGUUGCCCAGGCUGGUCUUGAACUCCUCACCUCAAGCGAUCCUCCCGUCUUGGCCUCCCAAGUGUCAGGAUUACGGGCAUGUGCUAUCACACCCAACCUGAUACAUUGCCUUUAUAAAUUUUUUUUUCUUUAUUCUAAAAACCAGAAAAAACAAAACUGGAUACAUGUGCAGAACAUGCAGACCAAGUGUGUUGGGGACUUGAGAUGCGUACAUGAGUGUGAUGUUUCCUGCUGAAAGCACAGGUGAGACGUGGUCUUGUAACACAGUGGUUAAGAAUGUGACUUUGGAGCCAGCCUGCUAGGGGCUGAAUUCUGACUCAGCCAUUUACUAACUGUGUGACCUUAGGGAGGAGGACCUGGUUGAUAGAAGAAUUUAUCUCGUAGUCUUAACAUCCACUGUAAUUCCAAACUUUGAGGACGAUAGAGAUCAGUGGGCUUUGACUGCCCAGCAUGCAGUCUCCAUU